UAACACGUGAGCAACCUACCCUUCAGAGGGGGACAACAGUUGGAAACGACUGCUAAUACCGCAUAAGACCACGGUGUGGCAUCACACAGAGGUCAAAGGAGAAAUCCGCUGAAGGAUGGGCUCGCGUCCAAUUAGCUAGAUGGUGAGGUAACGGCCCACCAUGGCGACGAUUGGUAGCCGGACUGAGAGGUUGAUCGGCCACAUUGGGACUGAGACACGGCCCAGACUCCUACGGGAGCAGCAUG
RNAcentral lists this ribosomal RNA (245 nucleotides) under uncultured bacterium. RNAcentral describes it as "partial 16S ribosomal RNA". It matches the Rfam family "Bacterial small subunit ribosomal RNA", at positions 111 to 353 of the family's 1533-position model. The record is from RNAcentral.